Molecule: transfer RNA, 54 nt
Filed under: Tylorrhynchus heterochetus (Japanese palolo)
Lineage: Eukaryota; Metazoa; Annelida; Polychaeta; Phyllodocida; Nereididae
Description: tRNA-Arg
Source: RNAcentral
AAAGCGUAAAUAACUGGUUUCGGCCCAAUACAAGGCAUUAAAUUGCCCGCUUUU